Molecule: long non-coding RNA, 432 nt
Organism: Seriola aureovittata
Lineage: Eukaryota; Metazoa; Chordata; Actinopteri; Carangiformes; Carangidae
Exons: 3
Source: RefSeq, a predicted model, not a curated record
CUGACAGGGAGCUGGAAGGAGAGAAAAUGGGUGAAAUAUGGAGAGAAGUGACACGAACAAAGUCGCUCGAAAGUCUGCGUGGACUUCACUGAAGAUUUUCACAACUUGGAAUACUUUUUAUGUAUUUUUUUUAAUUAAAUCUGUGGACUCUUAAAGGACUAAAGGAAUAUAAGUAAUGGAUGAAUGGGCCGACAACCGAACCUCAAGACCUCUACAAAGACGUGACGACUUCCACAUCACACGGACCAAAGCAGACAGCGUGGUCCAAUCCCAGUGCCCCCCCUAAGGCCUGAGACCUGAACCUUCACAGACUUAAUUGACAUCACCUGACGUGACGACUUCCACAUCACACGGACCAAAGCAGACAGCGUAGGCCAAUCCCAGUGCCCCCCCUAAGGCCUGAGACCUGAACCUUCACAGACUUAAUUGACA